UACGGAGGGGGCAAGCGUUGUUCGGAAUCAUUGGGCGUAAAGGGCGCGUAGGCGGCCGAUCAAGUCGGGUGUGAAAUCCCUCGGCUCAACCGAGGAACUGCAUUCGAUACUGACUGGCUAGAGUCCGGGAGGGGAUGGUGGAAUUCCCAGCGUAGCGGUGAAAUGCGUAGAUAUUGGGAAGAACACCGGUGGCGAAGGCGGCCAUCUGGACCGGUACUGACGCUGAGGCGCGAAAGCCAGGGGAGCGAAU
RNAcentral lists this ribosomal RNA (250 nucleotides) under uncultured bacterium. RNAcentral's name for it is "partial 16S ribosomal RNA". It matches the Rfam family "Bacterial small subunit ribosomal RNA", at positions 524 to 773 of the family's 1533-position model. The record is from RNAcentral.